RNAcentral lists this transfer RNA (72 nucleotides) under Marmota monax (woodchuck). RNAcentral's name for it is "tRNA.Ala". The record is from RNAcentral. Lineage: Eukaryota; Metazoa; Chordata; Mammalia; Rodentia; Sciuridae.
GGGGAUGUGGCUCAUAUGGUAGAGCGCUCGCCUAGCAUGAGUGAGGCACUGGGUUCGAUUCUCAGCACCACA